GAAAUUCCCAAACAAAAAAUUAGUUUCAGGUGUGUGUGUGUGUUUGCAUUCGGGUCUGAGUGGGGCCAGGGUGAGACUGAGUGGAGGGUAGGUGACACCACCCAGCUCACCCAGGACGUGCCCGGCUAUGCCCUCAGCGGCUUCCUGCUGCCUCUCGGGUGUCACUGCUCUUCAGCCUGAGUGACCACAUUGCCCCAGUGGCAUCGGGCAGCCAGUCCAGGUGCACAAGCCAUCACGAGGACCUGCCAGUGCAGGUGUGUGAGCCAUCACCAGGACGUGCCCUGGCAGCCAGAAGCGGAACGUGGCAGCAGCAUGAGUAGAGGAGCUGUGCCCCUCAGCCGCCUCCUGCCCGGGCACCACCGUCUGGGGAAGCAGAGAGGGCAGCUCCCUGUCUGCUCUGCCUCUGCUCUGCUGGUCCAGGGCCUGGAGAACCCUCCCCACACCAGCCCUUUGCUCGAACACCACCCCUGCUCCAAGGCCUGGCUCAGACGCUGUUUCCUCCCGGAAGACUUUUGGAUGCCCUACUCACCUCUUCUGAGCCUUCUUAUGUGAACCUCUCAUGGAGUGUGGCCUGUGCCACUCGUCCCCACAGAGCUCCUGCAGGAGCCUGGUUGUCGCAGACCUCCACAUCAGGCUACGCUCAGAGAACAUCUGGUCAACAGAGCUGCCCAGAGAAGGAAACAGAGGAAUAUCAGAGAGGACCCACGAGGCUGUGCCCACGCAGCACCAAGCGGAUGACAGCACAGAGACAGCGCUGACCGAAGGCCCGGGUUGCGAAGGACGUCCUCACGCCUUGAGAACAUCUGCACUUACAGAGAAGCAUCCGGAUGGUCGGGCAUGAAUGUUCACACACACGUCCCUGGAGACUCACGCAGACCCACAAAUUCCAGAAUGUGGGGGCUUCCUCGCGUCAUCUGGACCAGUCUUCUGUGUCUGAACUGUCCUGACACCUGAACCGGCACAGAAUGAGGCCCUGUCAGCUAAGAAGGGCCACUUGCUAGCCAUCGAGUGGGCUGUGCCGGAUGCUGGGACAGUGACAGCUUCUCAGAAUAAGAUAAGGUGGGUGUUGAGACCGUUCUGCCGGGAGCAGCCUUUGCGCAGGUCGGGGCUGGGCCGCACUGAGCAUGCGUGGAGCGGGGCUGCGGAGCCGGCGAGCUAAACGUCAGCGCGAGCCUCGUGAAUGCAGUGUUGGAAGAUCUUACGACAUUAUGUUUCUAGGGUGCGGAGGGAGAGUCUGGGAGGACAGGCAGCACCCCGCUGCAUGGGUCCCUCUCCCUGGACCGAGGCCACGGACAUCCAUGCUCUGGACCACACUAGUUAUGGGGCCUCCCGUGGUCUGGGCAGGUGUGGGGACCAUCUGCGUGGAGACGGGUGAUGCGAACCGAAGGGCUUGAGCUCCCUGGAGUGGUCAAGGGCCCCUACAGUUUCUUGCCAUGAGGUCUCAGGCGGGCUCUGCACCUUUCCCUCCAAACCACAGCUGAGCUGCGCCCAUCCCCUCCUGCAUCCAAAACCCGAACCCUUCCUUUCCUGUGGCCAAUCUGGCACCGACGUCUCUAGGCAGCCAUCGCCCCGCCAUCCAGGGAGCCCACAGCCAGUGGCUGGCUUACGCGGGAGCCAGGGCGGAAGCCUUUCCUCCUGCCUCAGCUCUGCUGUGGCUAUUUGAAGAACGUGUGGCUUUCCCAUUUGAGUGCACAUCCCAUGAGGACUGGAACCGUGCCUGCCUUUCCUCUCCACCACACUCCUGGUGCCUCACUCCAUGCCUGGCACGUCGUGGGGACUCAGAAAUAGUUGUUGAAGAAACGAUGUGAAUGGAUUAAAGACGAGAGAAGACUUGAGAGCAAGCGAAGGAGGAGACAGCUAGGAGGCCAGCCCUGCCCGUGCUGCCAGGAGGGCGUGUGUGGUCUCUGCCUGCAGUGUCACCGGUGAGCCCGUGGAGAGGAGACCUGCAAGCCCUCAGUGUGUCAUCAGUUCCCCUGAUUACUACGUGAGAAAUGUGCAAAGCGUAGGUCUGGUCCUCACGGGAUAAGUCCACAAAGAAUGCAUGGAGUACAUGGCUGAACCUGGAUUUCAACUACAAGAGGACACCAUCCAGGAAAUGAAAAGACAACUCAUGGGAUGGAAGAAAAUAUUUGCAAGUCAUAUAUCUGAUAGGGAACUGGUAUUCAGAACCCUACACUCAACAGUAAAAUUAAAAUGGGCAAAGGAUCUGAAUAGACAUUUCUCCAAAUAAGGUAUAAAAAUGGCCACAUAAGCAGGUGAAAAGGUGCUCAACCCAUGAGUCAUUAGGGAAUUGCAAAUGAAACUACAAUGAGAUACUGCUUCCCACCCCCAGUAUGGCUGAGACAAACCAGACAGAUAAUAGCAAAUGUUGAAGGGCAUGUGUAGCAACUGGAGCUCUCAGACAUUGCUGUGGCGACGGAAAUUGUGUGGCCACUUUACGAAAGCAGUUUGGGAGUUCCUUAAAUGUUAAACAUGGUUACCAUGUGAUCCAGCAAGUAAGAGACGUGAAAAUACGCAUCCACACAAAAACAACUAUGUGAAUAUAUGUAGCCUAAUAUGUAGAAGAUAAAUAGCUAACAUUUAGAAACAAUACAAGUACCUAUCACCUGAUGAAUGAACAAAAUGCUGUAUAUCCCAACAGUGGAAUCGUGUUCAGCCACCAAGAGGAAUGAGCACUGGUGUGUGCUCCGUGGAUGGACCUUGGGAACAGUGUCCUCCGUGAAGGAAGCCACACACAGAAGGCCGUUUAGUGUGUGAUGCCACUUAUACGAAGUGUCCAGAACAGGCACAUCCGUCCAGACAGAAAGGACGACGUUCCACGGACUGCAAGAGAACGUUCAGUCUGGCUCCGAACGGCGUUUUCGGCAAGCCCCGACCUCCGUGUCUCGGGCCUGCGUCCAGCUCCCCGUGGAAGGCGUGAUCUCUGAGUCUCCGCAGCAGGUACCGCACUCGAGCCAGAGCCCAGGCCGCCCGGUGAGAGUCGAUGUUGCUGCAGCAAAAUGCAGCCACCAGCCAAG
Molecule: long non-coding RNA, 3017 nt
Organism: Lemur catta (Ring-tailed lemur)
Lineage: Eukaryota; Metazoa; Chordata; Mammalia; Primates; Lemuridae
Exons: 12
Source: RefSeq, a predicted model, not a curated record